Molecule: ribosomal RNA, 468 nt
Filed under: uncultured bacterium
Lineage: Bacteria
Description: partial 16S ribosomal RNA
Rfam family: Bacterial small subunit ribosomal RNA
Source: RNAcentral
GACGAACGCUGGCGGCGUGCUUAACACAUGCAAGUCGAACGGAAAGGCCCUGCUUUUGUGGUGUGCUCGAGUGGCGAACGGGUGAGUAGCACGUGUGUAACCUGCCCUUGACUUUGGGAUAACUUCAGGAAACUGGGGCUAAUACCGUAUAGGAGCUCCUGCUGCGUGGUGGGGGUUGGAAAGUUUCGGCGGUUGGGGUUGGACUCGCGGCUUAUCAGCUUGUUGGUGGGGUAGUGGCUUACCAAGCCUUUGACGGGUAGCCGGCCUGGGAGGGUGACCGGCCACAAUGGGACUGAGGGAGGGGCCAGAGUCGUACGGGAGGCAGCAGUGGGGAACAUUGCACAAUGGGAGGAAGCCUGAUGCAGCAACGCCGCGUGCGGGAUGACGGCCUUCGGGUUGUAAACCGCUUUCGCCUGUGACGAAGCGUGAGUGACGGUAAUGGGUAAAGAAGCACCGGCUAACUACGUG